GUCUGGGCGCGCGUGGCUGGCGGGUGGCCGGCGGUCGAGAGGCUGCGGCGGGCGAACGCCGCUGGAGUCGCCCAGACUGCCUCGGAUUUCAUAAUGAAUCUGAGGAAGGACAAAGGGUACAUUGGACCGCCUCAGCUCAGAGGCCCCGCGGACCCUGGGCCCCGCGAUGCCCGAGGGGCGGGCGGCGCCCUCCGGAUCCUGCACCCUCAGCCCGUGCCCCGCUGGCCUCCUGGCAGGCCGGGCAGAAUUCUGCUGCGAGGGCCCUGGAGGCAAGGGCCUUCCUCUCCGUUUUUCCUUGACACUGACGGGCGCGGCCCCACAGGGUUUCCCCCACGCUCCCUGGCCGGAAGACCUUUUCUGUCUGGUGUCUGCAGAGCCUGACGUGGGCAGCGCCCGCAGCUCGCGCCGGUGCAGGGGAGCUGAGGGCCGACUGCGCGCUGCACCACGGCGGCCACCUGCUGUGCGGUUCUGAGGGCUUCCGCGGUUCUGAGGGCUUCCGCGUCCCUGCCAUGCCCAUCUUGGGGCUUCAGAAGCCAACACGAUGGUUUUCGGGCUCACAUCCCAAAGGCUGCUCUUCCUUUUAGCACCUGGGACCUACCAGGAACCUCAACCUCUAACAACAUUGGUCCCCGUUACCGUGGAGUUUGCGCCCAGCGUUCGCUGGAGGGCCGUUUGAAGAAUGAUUGUUGUCGUAAAGGCCUUUGAUAAUAAUAGAUACUGUUUACCCAGUGCUUGAUGCCAGGCAUUGCUACAAACACUGCGUACACAUUAUUCUAUUUAAUCUUCAUAACCCAGUGAGGAUAUCAACCAGGAUAUGGCAUUGCAUUGGAUCCCAACCAGGAUAUGACGUUACAUUGGAUCCCAACCAGGAUAUGGCAUUGCACUGGAUCCCAACCAGGAUAUGGCAUUGCACUGGAUCCCAACCAGGAUAUGGCAUUGCGUUGGAUCCCAACCAGGUUAUGGCAUUACAUUGGAUCCCAACCAGGUUAUGGCAUUGCAUUGGAUCCCAACCAGGAUAUGACAUUGCAUUUACUCAUCACGCCUCCUUAGGUUCCUCUUGGCUGUGACGGUUUCUCAGACUAUCCUUGUUUUUUAGGACCUUGACAGUUUUGAGGCAUACUGGAGAGCUCAACGUGGGCGUUUCUUUCUGUAACAAGUAUGCAUCAUGGCUGGCUGACUCCUCCCCAUAACAAGCAGUUUAAAGGUGAACGGAAAUGGAUCUUGGCGAUAGCAGCUUUUGGAAGCCUAGGCGCGGCACAGAAGGUCAGACAGGAAUGGCUUGUCUUCCACUACAACAUGGGGCUUCAUCGGAAGCACCGCUGCUGAGGAACAACCACCUCCUCCUGACCAUCGCAAGCUGCCCAGGAAGACAUGCUCAUAGCAGUGUCCGUUUCCCUGCCUAACUUUCCACCAGAAGAUUCCUUCAUGUCUACGGGCGGACCCAGGCCGAUCUUGGAAUGCAUGUUUAAGUUUGUCUGACCUUUCUAUCUUUUGCCUUCCUCUUCACUAGAGAACCUGAGCACUAGGUUCUCCUGUAUUAUUUAUUUUAUCUUAUUCUUUUCUUUUUUUUUUUUUUUUUUUGAGGCAGGGCCUUGCUCUGUCACUGAGGCUGAAAUGCAAUGGUGUGGUCAUAGCUCACUCCUCGG
This 1646-nucleotide long non-coding RNA is filed under the name Homo sapiens (human). Its description in RNAcentral is "non-protein coding lnc-PRIMPOL-6:2". The record is from RNAcentral. Lineage: Eukaryota; Metazoa; Chordata; Mammalia; Primates; Hominidae.